UNANACAUGCAAGUCGRRCGGUAACAGAACUAGCUUGCUAGUUGCUGACGAGUGGCGGACGGGUGAGUAAUGUAUAGGAACUUGCCUAGUAGUGGGGGACAACGUGUGGAAACGCACGCUAAUACCGCAUACGCUCUACGGAGGAAAGCAGGGGAUCUUCGGACCUUGCGCUAUUAGAUAGGCCUAUAUUGGAUUAGCUAGAUGGUAAGGUAACGGCUUACCAUGGCGACGAUCCAUAGCUGGUUUGAGAGAAUGGUCAGCCACACUGGGACUGAGACACGGCCCAGACUCCUACGGGAGGCAGCAGUGGGGAAUAUUGCACAAUGGAGGAAACUCUGAUGCAGCAAUGCCGCGUGUGUGAAGAAGGCCUUAGGGUUGUAAAGCAUUUUCAGACGCGAGGAAAAGUUAAUAGUUAAUACCUAUUAACCUUGACGUUAACGUCAGAAGAAGCACCGGCUAACUCCGUGCCAGCAGCCGCGGUAAUACGGAGGGUGCAAGCGUUAAUCGGAAUUACUGGGCGUAAAGCGCGCGUAGGCGGAUAGAUAAGUCAGAUGUGAAAUCCCUGGGCUCAACCUAGGAACUGCAUUUGAAACUGUCUAUCUAGAGUAUGGUAGAGGUGAGUGGAAUUUCAGGUGUAGCGGUGAAAUGCGUAGAGAUCUGAAGGAACAUCAGUGGCGAAGGCGACUCACUGGGCCAUUACUGACGCCGAGGUGCGAAAGCGUGGGUAGCAAACAGGAUUAGAUACCCUGGUAGUCCACGCCCUAAACGAUGUCAACUAGGUGUGUGAGAGUCUAACUCUUGCGUAUCGAAGCUAACGCGAUAAGUUGACCGCCUGGGGAGUACGGCCGCAAGGCUAAAGCUCAAAUGAAUUGACGGGGGCCCGCACAAGCGGUGGAGCAUGUGGUUUAAUUCGAUGCAACGCGAAGAACCUUACCAGGCCUUGACAUGUAGCGAACUUUCCAGAGAUGGAUUGGUGCCUUCGGGAACGCUAACACAGGUGCUGCAUGGCUGUCGUCAGCUCGUGUCGUGAGAUGUUGGGUUAAGUCCCGCAACGAGCGCAACCCCUGUCCUUAGUUGCCAUCAUUUAGUUGGGCACUCUAGGGAGACUGCCGGUGACAAACCGGAGGAGGGUGGGGACGACGUCAAGUCAUCAUGGCCCUUAUGGCCUGGGCUACACACGUGCUACAAUGGGCAGUACAAAGGGUUGCCAACUCGCGAGAGUGCGCUAAUCCCAUAAAACUGUUCGUAGUCCGGAUUGGAGUCUGCAACUCGACUACCAUGAAGUCGGAAUCGCUAGUAAUCGCAGAUCAGAAUGCUGCGGUGAAUACGUUCCCGGGCCUUGUACACACCGCCCGUCACACCAUGGGAGUGGGUUGCAAAAGAAGUAGCUAGGCUAACCUUCGGGAGGCCGGUUACCACUUUGUGAUUCAUGACUGGGGUGAAGUCGUAACAAGGUARCY
This 1460-nucleotide ribosomal RNA is filed under the name uncultured bacterium. RNAcentral describes it as "SSU rRNA". It matches the Rfam family "Bacterial small subunit ribosomal RNA". The record is from RNAcentral.